RNAcentral lists this transfer RNA (63 nucleotides) under Athyma recurva. RNAcentral describes it as "tRNA-Cys". The record is from RNAcentral. Lineage: Eukaryota; Metazoa; Arthropoda; Insecta; Lepidoptera; Nymphalidae.
AGUCUUAUAUUCAAAUAAUGAUUUAAAAUUGCAAAUUUUAAGGUGUAAUUAAUACUAAGGCUU